RNAcentral lists this ribosomal RNA (406 nucleotides) under uncultured bacterium. RNAcentral describes it as "partial 16S ribosomal RNA". It matches the Rfam family "Bacterial small subunit ribosomal RNA", at positions 30 to 526 of the family's 1533-position model. The record is from RNAcentral.
AUUGAACGCUGUCGGCAGGCCUAACACAUGCAAGUCGGGCGAGCGGAGGACGGAUGAGUAAUGUAUGGGGAUCUGCCUGAUGGAGGGGGAAAACUACUGGAAACGGUAGCUAAUAACGCAUAACAUAAGAUGAACCCAUAUGGGAUUAGCUUGUAGGGUAGGUAACGGCUCACCUAGGCGACGCUCCCGAGAUGGUCUGAGAGGAUGAUCAGCCACACUGGGACUGAGACACGGCCCAGACUCCGACGUGAGGCAGCAGUGGGGAAUAUUGCACAAUGGGCGCAAGCCUGAUGCAGCCAUGCCGCGUGUAUGAAGAAGGCCUUCGGGUUGUAAAGUACUUUCAGUCGGGAGGCGUUACCGACAGAAGAAGCACCGGCUAACUCCGUGCCAGCAGCCGCGGUAAUAC